Molecule: ribosomal RNA, 379 nt
Filed under: uncultured eukaryote
Lineage: Eukaryota
Description: partial 18S ribosomal RNA
Rfam family: Eukaryotic small subunit ribosomal RNA
Source: RNAcentral
CAAUAGCGUAUAUUUAAGUUGUUGCAGUUAAAAAGCUCGUAGUUGGAUUUCGGAUGGGACUUGCCGGUCCGUCGUUUCGAUGUGCACUGGCAAGUCCUAUCUUGUUGUCGGGGACUAGCUCCUGGGCUUCACUGUCCGGGACUAGGAGCUGACGAGGUUACUUUGAGUAAAUUAGAGUGUUCAAAGCAAGCCUACGCUCUGAAUACAUUAGCAUGGAAUAACACGAUAGGACUCUGGCUUAUCUUGUUGGUCUGUGAGACCAGAGUAAUGAUUAAGAGGGACAGUCGGGGGCAUUCGUAUUUCAUUGUCAGAGGUGAAAUUCUUGGAUUUAUGAAAGACGAACUUCUGCGAAAGCAUUUGUCAAGGAUGUUUUCAUUAA